UGGCGACCGGCGCACGGGUGAGUAACACGUAUCCAACCUGCCGAUGACUCGGGGAUAGCCUCUCGAAAGAAAGAUUAAUACCCGAUGGCAUAGUUCUUCCGCAUGGUGGAACUAUUAAAGAAUUUCGGUCAUCGAUGGGGAUGCGUUCCAUUAGGUUGUUGGCGGGGUAACGGCCCACCAAGCCUUCGAUGGAUAGGGGUUCUGAGAGGAAGGUCCCCCACAUUGGAACUGAGACACGGUCCAAACUCCUACGGGAGGCAGCAUG
Molecule: ribosomal RNA, 265 nt
Filed under: uncultured bacterium
Lineage: Bacteria
Description: partial 16S ribosomal RNA
Rfam family: Bacterial small subunit ribosomal RNA
Source: RNAcentral